Molecule: ribosomal RNA, 877 nt
Filed under: uncultured bacterium
Lineage: Bacteria
Description: bacterial SSU rRNA
Rfam family: Bacterial small subunit ribosomal RNA
Source: RNAcentral
GAGUUUGAUCAUGGCUCAGGAUGAACGCUGACAGAAUGCUUAACACAUGCAAGUCUACUUGAUCCUUCGGGUGAAGGUGGCGGACGGGUGAGUAACGCGUAAAGAACUUGCCUUACAGACUGGGACAACAUUUGGAAACGAAUGCUAAUACCGGAUAUUAUGAUUGGGUCGCAUGAUCUGGUUAUGAAAGCUAUAUGCGCUGUGAGAGAGCUUUGCGUCCCAUUAGUUAGUUGGUGAGGUAACGGCUCACCAAGACGAUGAUGGGUAGCCGGCCUGAGAGGGUGAACGGCCACAAGGGGACUGAGACACGGCCCUUACUCCUACGGGAGGCAGCAGUGGGGAAUAUUGGACAAUGGACCAAAAGUCUGAUCCAGCAAUUCUGUGUGCACGAUGAAGUUUUUCGGAAUGUAAAGUGCUUUCAGUUGGGAAGAAGUCAGUGACGGUACCAACAGAAGAAGCGACGGCUAAAUACGUGCCAGCAGCCGCGGUAAUACGUAUGUCGCAAGCGUUAUCCGGAUUUAUUGGGCGUAAAGCGCGUCUAGGCGGCUUAGUAAGUCUGAUGUGAAAAUGCGGGGCUCAACCCCGUAUUGCGUUGGAAACUGCUAAACUAGAGUACUGGAGAGGUAGGCGGAACUACAAGUGUAGAGGUGAAAUUCGUAGAUAUUUGUAGGAAUGCCGAUGGGGAAGCCAGCCUACUGGACAGAUACUGACGCUAAAGCGCGAAAGCGUGGGUAGCAAACAGGAUUAGAUACCCUGGUAGUCCACGCCGUAAACGAUGAUUACUAGGUGUUGGGGGUCGAACCUCAGCGCCCAAGCUAACGCGAUAAGUAAUCCGCCUGGGGAGUACGUACGCAAGUAUGAAACUCAAAGGAAUUGA